GUGUACCACCCGUAUACCCCGGUUCAUCCGCGCGCACUCCUCCGCGCGGUCUGCACCCACCUGACGGCUGCUCGCCACCUGUGUGAGCC
RNAcentral lists this small RNA (89 nucleotides) under Xanthomonas codiaei. RNAcentral describes it as "sX9 sRNA". It matches the Rfam family "Xanthomonas sRNA sX9". Lineage: Bacteria; Pseudomonadati; Pseudomonadota; Gammaproteobacteria; Lysobacterales; Lysobacteraceae. The record is from RNAcentral.